This 1910-nucleotide long non-coding RNA is filed under the name Volvox carteri. Its description in RNAcentral is "long non-coding RNA (VCAR_LNC001761)". Lineage: Eukaryota; Viridiplantae; Chlorophyta; Chlorophyceae; Chlamydomonadales; Volvocaceae. The record is from RNAcentral.
AUCACCACCACCGGCAACACCUACCACCACCUUCUCAACCAUCUAACCCACCACCAGCAUUACCAUCACCAGCGGUGCCGCCCUACAUCAACACCUUCUCAACCAUCUACCCACCACCAUCUUACCCACCACCAGCGGAGCCGCCCUACACACCACCUUCUCAACCAUCUAACCCACCACCAUCAUACCCACCACCAGCGGAGCCGCCCUACACUCCACCUUCUCAACCAUCCUACCCACCACCAGCAUACCCAACACCAGCGGAGCCGCCCUACACACCACCUUCUCAACCAUCUAACCCACCACCAUCUUACCCACCGCCAGCGGAGCCGCCCUACCCACCACCUUCUCAAUAAUCUAUCGCAGCCGAUUAUCACCGACUCGCAAUAGCGUCACCACUAAUACCGCCUUACCCACAAAUACCAACAUCGACAUCACCACCACCGGCCACCCUACCACCACCUUCUCAACCAUCUAACCCACCACCAGCAUUACCAUCACCAGCGGUGCCGCCCUACACACCACCUUCUCAACCAUCUACCCACCACCAUCUUACCCACCACCAGCGGAGCCGCCCUACACACCACCUUCUCAACCAUCUAACCCACCACCAGCAUACCCACCACCAGCGGAGCCGCCCUACACACCACCUUCUCAACCAUCCUACCCACCACCAGCAUACCCACCACCAGCGGAGCCGCCCUACACACCACCUUCUCAACCAUCUAACCCACCACCAUCUUACCCACCGCCAGCGGAGCCGCCCUACCCACCACCUUCUCAACCAUCUAACCCACCACCAGCAUACCCACCACCAGCGGAGCCGCCCUACACACCACCUUCUCAACCAUCUAACCCACCACCAUCUUACCCACCACCAGCGGAGCCGCCCUACACACCACCUUCUCAACCAUCCUACCCACCACCAUCAUACCCACCACCAGCGGUGCCGCCCUACACACCACCUUCUCAACCAUCUAACCCACCACCAUCUUACCCACCGCCAGCGGUGCCGCCCUACCCACCACCUUCUCAACCAUCUAACCCACCACCAUCUUACCCACCGCCAGCGGAGCCGCCCUACACACCACCUUCUCAACCAUCUAACCCACCACCAUCUUACCCACCGCCAGCGGUGCCGCCCUACACACCACCUUCUCACCCAUCUAACCCACCACCAUCUUACCCACCGCCAGCGGUGCCGCCCUACACACCACCUUCUCACCCAUCUAACCCACCACCAUCGUACCCACCGCCAGCGGUGCCGCCCUACGCACCACCUUCUCAACCAUCUAACCCACCACCAUCUUACCCACCGCCAGCGGAGCCGCCCUACACACCACCUUCUCAACCAUCUAACCCACCACCAUCUUACCCACCGCCAGCGGUGCCGCCCUACACACCACCUUCUCAACCAUCUAACCCACCACCAUCUUACCCACCGCCAGCGGUGCCGCCCUACUCACCACCUUCUCAACCAUCUAACCCACCACCAUCUUACCCACCGCCAGCGGUGCCGCCCUACACACCACCUUCUCAACCAUCUAACCCACCACCAUCUUACCCACCGCCAGCGGUGCCGCCCUACACACCACCUUCUCAACCAUCUAACCCACCACCAUCUUACCCACCGCCAGCGGUGCCGCCCUACACACCACCUUCUCACCCAUCUAACCCACCACCAUCUUACCCACCGCCAGCGGUGCCGCCCUACGCACCACCUUCUCAACCAUCUAACCCACCACCAUCUUACCCACCGCCAGCGGAGCCGCCCUACACACCACCUUCUCAACCAUCUAACCCACCACCAUCUUACCCACCGCCAGCGGUCACGCCCUACACACCACCUUCUCAACCAUCUAAACCACCACCAUCUUACCCACCGCCAGCGGUGCCGCCCUACUCACCAC